CUUCCUGCAGCUUUCAAUUCAGAGUUACAUUUUCAAUCAGCGACUCAAAUUCCUAUAAGGAGAGAGAGAGAGAAAGACGAUUGGAAAUUUACUGCUCUUUUUUCCAACCAUUUUACAAAUAAACAAAGCUUCCUAUUUGUUUUUCGCUCUUUCAGUGAGGACAAGAAGUAAAUCAUGGCAGAAGGUGGAAGUAGUGACAUAUGGAAGUAUAAAGUUAUUUUCAGUUCCAAGGCAGUACAAGGAUUCAAAGAGGUAAAAGAACUUCUGCAACAUUUACCGUCAAGUUUUGAGAUGUUUGUGACGUCAUAUGAACAGAGAAAGCUGGAUUCAUUGAGUAAAAAAGUGGGAUUCAGUGGAAUUGACAGAAGAGACCUGCGAGAAACUAUUGAUAAGUGGCAAGAGGAAUUCAGUAAAACAGUUGUCAUGUAGCCGCACAUAAAAAAGCUUUUCUUUUCGCUGCUCAGUGGUGUGAUCCAGAAAAUGAAGUCAAUAAGUACGGCAUCCCUGUGGCAUCUCCGUCAAAAUUAAAGGUUAUCCUCCAGAUAAUUGCAAACCAGAAGAAAUGGUUUUAUUCUGUAAAAUAUAUGGCUGGUGACACGGAGGUUAAAAUCUAUGGUCUCUUGUCAGCAAAUACAUUCAAGAAGUAUGUCCAGUCUGAAGAAGAGGAAGAGUUUAUAAAAGAGAUUACUGAUGUAUUAAAAGGCCGAAAAGAAGAGAACAACUUGAAGCAAGCAUUAAUGUGUCACUUACUUGCAGGUAAUCUAAGCAUUAAUGUGUCACUUACUUGCAGGUAAUCUAAGCAUUAAUGUGUCACUUACUUGCAGGUAAUCUAAGCACUAAUGUGUCACUUACUUGCAGGUAAUCUAAGCAUUAAUGUGUCACUUACUUGCAGGUAAUCUAAGCAUUAAUGUGUCACUUACUUGCAGGUAAUCUAAGCAUUAAUGUGUCACUUACUUGCAGGUAAUCUAAGCAUUAAUGUGUCACUUACUUGCAGGUAAUCUAAGCACUAAUGUGUCACUUACUUGCAGGUAAUCUAAGCAUUAAUGUGUCACUUACUUGCAGCCAUCCAACACACCCCAGAAUUUCGUGAAGUGCAAGACUGGGCAAUAGCUCCAUCAUCAAAAGAAAGACUAAGUGAUGUUCUGCUAGAUUUAAGAGAACAUUUAAGAUAUCUUAUGUAUGGAAGACUGCCAAAAAAUAUGUCUCCAUCAGAGAACAUGUUUGUACGCACCCGUUGUGUUAAACCCUCGAAAUGUUUAUCAUCUGUAGAGAGAAUGAAAGAAAAUUGUAUACAGAGAGACUUUCAAUCUAUUUCUAUUAAUGGUUGUUACAAUAAAAAGCUCUCCAACCGCGUGAUUUGUGUCUUGGAUGACAUGACUACUUAUGGUAAUAUCUUUGAGGCAUUAAGAAAUAUUCUAAUAACAUGCAAACCAAAAAAGAUAAUUUUCUUAGCUAUAGGAAAAUUCAGAAGAAAUGGAGUUAAGUACAAAAUGUUAAAUUAUACGAUACAAGGUAACGUCUUUACACAAGAAUAUGAAGCAGUUUUUAAUUCUGCUGAAAUUGUAGAGGAAGAAUAUGAACGGAGUGCUCAACGCGAAGUUCGAGAAUUGGCUAGCCUUGCUUAUGAGCUAAGCCACUAGAACGCAAGACUCGGCAGUAGACAGAAGAUAAAAGCCCACAUUUAUAUCAAAACUAAACAUACCUUCUUUAAUUAGCAUAAUAAUAAAACGGUUUUAUAAAUAAUUAAACUAACUAACUGAUCACAACGUAGUAUUUACCUACACCAGUGGUUCUCAAUGUGUGGUCCAUGGGCUCUGUUCAGGUGAAAUACUUAUAGAAAGGAAGCAGGGCAUGGAGAUAAAUAAAAACCAGGUCCGAGAACCUACACCAUUUCAACGUAAUCUGAAUCACGUUGUUAUUUUUUACCCCAUGUUGUAUGGAUUAAGAUGUAUAUUUUAUAUACGUACACACACAGUUAAUGAAAUGGUGGUACGAAUUUGAGAUAUCAACUCACUGAAGGAUAAAUAAGAAAACUUUAACACCAGUCUUAUUACUUUCAAUCUUCUCAACUAAUUAAGAUGAAGUUUUCUCUAUCUCAUGAUUUAUAAUUCCCGAUAGUUAAAUUUGUAUAACAUUACUGUAUUGAGAACAACAGAACUGAGUAUUGAAUGUUUUGUUAUUGAUUUUUCACCUUGACUCGAAAAGAAAAAUCAUUUACGCACAAAAUAUCAUGGUGAGAUUAGGUGAAUUCUUGUAUUUGUUUUAUUUAUUUAGUGUUAUAUGAUUUAUUGUUAAUUUGUAACGUAGAUUUUAAAAGAAACAAAAAAUCAAGGGACCAAGUAGAGUUUUAUAUUUCGUUUUCCAGACUUAAUUUUUUGUUAACCAGAUUUGGAAGACAAUAUGAGUAUAACCAGCAAUGGCAUUCUUCUUUUCUGUGUAGUAGGAAUUAGCAGAAGGAUCUUUGUAUGAUUUUAUUAAUUUUUCACUUUGAAAAUGUAAUCACAAUAAUCUUGAUUACAUUUAUGAAAUAAAGUAUUCAACUUCAAACUUUA
Molecule: RNA transcript, 2552 nt
Organism: Limulus polyphemus (Atlantic horseshoe crab)
Lineage: Eukaryota; Metazoa; Arthropoda; Merostomata; Xiphosura; Limulidae
Exons: 5
Source: RefSeq, a predicted model, not a curated record